Small nucleolar RNA from Myotis lucifugus (little brown bat), 88 nucleotides. Ensembl annotates it as small nucleolar RNA SNORD35. Its record names the gene SNORD35B. Lineage: Eukaryota; Metazoa; Chordata; Mammalia; Chiroptera; Vespertilionidae. The record is from Ensembl.
GGCAGGUGAUGUCUGUUUUCACGAUGGUCUUCAGAUGCCGGUGACAGGCGCUGCUGAGAAAGCCAGUUGGCAGAACUGAUGCCAGAAC